GUUGCAGGGUAUAGACCCGAAACCCGGUGAUCUAGCCAUGGGCAGGUUGAAGGUUGGGUAACACUAACUGGAGGACCGAACCGACUAAUGUUGAAAAAUUAGCGGAUGACCUGUGGCUGGGGGUGAAAGGCCAAUCAAACCGGGAGAUAGCUGGUUCUCCCCGAAAGCUAUUUAGGUAGCGCCUCGUGAAUUCAUCUCCGGGGGUAGAGCACUGUUUCGGCUAGGGGGCCAUCCCGGCUUACCAACCCGAUGCAAACUGCGAAUACCGGAGAAUGUUAUCACGGGAGACACACGGCGGGUGCUAACGUCCGUCGUGAAGAGGGAAACAACCCAGACCGCCAGCUAAGGUCCCAAAGUCAUGGUUAAGUGGGAAACGAUGUGGGAAGGCCCAGACAGCCAGGAUGUUGGCUUAGAAGCAGCCAUCAUUUAAAGAAAGCGUAAUAGCUCACUGGUCGAGUCGGCCUGCGCGGAAGAUGUAACGGGGCUAAACCAUGCACCGAAGCUGCGGCAGCGAACGUAUCACU
RNAcentral lists this ribosomal RNA (524 nucleotides) under Salmonella enterica. RNAcentral's name for it is "bacterial LSU rRNA". It matches the Rfam family "Bacterial large subunit ribosomal RNA", at positions 699 to 1221 of the family's 2925-position model. The record is from RNAcentral. Lineage: Bacteria; Pseudomonadati; Pseudomonadota; Gammaproteobacteria; Enterobacterales; Enterobacteriaceae.